This 3013-nucleotide non-coding RNA is filed under the name Pan troglodytes (chimpanzee). Lineage: Eukaryota; Metazoa; Chordata; Mammalia; Primates; Hominidae. The record is from RNAcentral.
GCCUCCUUCUCCUGGUGUCCAUUUCUGGAACUGCUAUUUGUAUAUUGCAUGAUAUUUUAUCAGGAAAAAAAAUAAAACAGAUCUAAUUUCAUGAAAAUGCUGUUGCCAUAAUGCUCAGGAGAACAGGGGGAAGAGAGAGAUUCAAGUCUUCCUAAUGUCUACCUUAUAUGCAGAGCCUUGGAAAGAUGGGCAAAUGCUCUGUGACAAGCCACCAGGGUAGACUGGUACUGAAAAGACCCUACUACACACAGGGGCUCUGUCCCUGGCUGGAAAGUUACAAGUCAGCCUACCUCUCUGUGAUCUGGUUUCCACACCUACUACUCCUUAUCCCAUGAGGAGCUUCUGGAAACUAAAAAAGGUACUUCGAAUUUCAUUGUUGCAUCGAGCCAGCUGAUUUGGGAGUUGAGUUCCUGGAUAGGCAUACUAUCCACAGUGUUUUACCAGAGUGAAAUCACAGGAUAGGCUCAGCUGUAACAAACUAUAUCAAAUCUCAGAGGCUUCAAAAGACUAAGGUUUAUUUCUCACUCAUGCCACACGUCUACUGAGGGUCAUGCGGGGUUCUGCUGAGUGAUGUUCUCCAUCCAGGAUCCCAGCCAGGAUCCCAGCUGGUAGAGCAGCCUCCACCUGGAACAUUGCCUAAGAUAUUGGAAGGGCACACCAGGGCAAUGGUGAAGCUCAAAGUGGCUCCUAAUGGCUGGCCAGAAUCAGCCCUCGUAUCUCCUUGGCCAAAGCAAGUCUCUAGGACCACAGCUAAUUCCCAGCAGGUGAAGAUGUGAUUUCUUCCAUCCAGAAAGACAGAAAGCCAGAACAUCUUGAACAGCUCUGGUGACUAUCAUAUCCUUUUCUUCUAAGCCAAAUAUGAGAUUCUUUUAUAGCAGCUAUGACAUUCAAGGAGCUCUUACAGAUGUCCCCAAUACUGUCACAGUGGAGUUUAUCUUACAGAAUUGGGCCACUCUAAGUGACUACCUGUUGCCUCAAAGGGUAACAGGUCUAACAGAAAGAACUGUACUCCAGAAUUGUAAGUCUUCUAGAUUCUGCUACUGGAAGAGUAAGUGGAUAAGAAUAGCCAAGAACAUGGGAAAGAAGAAUUUGUGGAAGUUAAUUUGUAAUGAGGACAAUCAUAAAUUCUUCCUGAGUUAGGUCUCCUUAUCUGCAAGGUUCCCAUCUGCCAAGGGGACAAGAUAUAACAUGGGAAUCCCAAUGGAUGCAGAAGGGAAGUAGAGGUAAAUUUGCCUCUUCUAGCCACACAAUAUCUGGUAGAAGAAACGGAGAAAAAGGCAGGGGCAGACAACCAGAGGGAGGGGUAGUGAUUCUGGGGAAAACAGAAGGCAGAGUAUAUUCAUUACAAUUUAAUAAAACUAUGGGAGGUGACCCUCUUGAAGGCUGCCUCCACACCCACCAGUCAAGGCUCCAUCAAUGUAAACUAGCAAUCCAACAUGGUAGUGCCCAGAGAGCCAAGAUUAUUUAUCAUGUUAUGGACAGAUUGGCAUAGGCCCUGAGGGGUACUCAAAGGCCAGUGGGACUGCUGCAAGGCCCUUGUGUUGGGGUGGUGUCCAGCAUAGCAGACUCCUCUAGGUUGAUAUUCUGGGCCAGAGGGGACAGCUGGACAAUGUCACAUUGGUUCUGACACGUGCAUGGCACUUGCAUGAGCCAGACUGGGGCUAAGUCAGCCAGGCAGGCUGUCAGGCCCUAAUCACAUCAAGGAUGGCCAAAUCAUGUUCCACUAGGGACCAGCUUGAGCUGCAAAUGACCAAUAGGACAAAUGAUGUCAUCCAGAGGACCCAACCACCCAGAUCUGAGACACAGUAAGCCUCCUUCAUCCACCCAGACAUACGUUAGGAAACUGAAAGAGGAAGACAGGAGCCUCCAAAGAUUGGGUUUUUGUGUAGAAGGAACUGAAUAAUUUAAAGAAUGUUCAGUUUAUGAGGUCAGACUGAGAUGAAUGAAUGGAGAUAAGGUGUCACGAGGAAGAUCAGCUCACUGAGAGCAGUAGUUCUCAACCCUGGCUGUACAUUGCACAUUAGAAAUGCCCAGCGCUUUCAGAAAAUACUCCCCCCCACCUCUAACCACAACUAUUAUGUUGCAAUUGCUGGUGGUGGGCUUAGAUCUGGGCGUAGGUGCAUAUGUAUGCAAAGACACAUAUGUACGUAAUUUCUCCAAUGUUUAUAAUGUACAAAUAUGAAUUAUCUAAUAGAAAUAAACAGUGUCACUAAAGGGCAUGCCCUGGCAGAUCCUCAGGGCUGGUGGAAUUGGCUCCAGAACUUUUGCUCUUGGCUCCCAUUCCCCACUGGGAGAAGCCUGAUACCUGACUCCCUGAACCUGGCCUUUGGCUUCAGACUCUGAAGUCAAAUCCCUUCCUUCUCCCUCUGGCUCAGUCUCCAUCGACUCAACUAGUCCUGCCACCUCUUUUCUGCUUGGCCCAGCCCUAGCACCCUACUCACUGGUGUAGCCAUUAUAGGCAGCUCAAUGUAGACCAGUCAGCGUUUUGGCUGGAAAAUAGACAGAUGUAGCUGAAAGAAGCUGAUGGAUCUUUCUCAGGACUGGCAGUUACCCGCCAUGAGGAUGAAGGCCACAUGGGGUAUAGUCAAGGGGUGAGCACACGUCCAGUGAACUGGCUGAUUCCUGCUGUGGCAGGUGCAACCUGCAGGCCCACGGAUGUCAGAUCUUCUACAGAAGGGAAGCCAGAAUUCUAGACUUUUAUCUGAAAUUUACCAAUAUUUAAAUACCAGUAAGGAAUUCAUUUUUUAUUACCUUGUAUGUGCCAAAUGAAAAAUAAACCUAUUUAUGAGUUAGUCCCAGCCCCAGGCUCCGGCCUUGGCCUCUGGAAAGCCUCUGAAACAGUAGGGAUUGCGGGAAGAAGGGUGUGUGGAGGCCAAGGAUCUGCUGCGCCUUUCCAGUCAGGUGGGUCACAAUGAGAUGGUUAAGUGUUUGAGCAGACUGUGACCACACUAAAAGUGAUGCUUCCCCUGGGGCAGUUUUACAAUAAAGAUAAUAAAAACCAACAAAAAAACAA